Molecule: long non-coding RNA, 352 nt
Filed under: Gossypium raimondii (Peruvian cotton)
Lineage: Eukaryota; Viridiplantae; Streptophyta; Magnoliopsida; Malvales; Malvaceae
Description: long non-coding RNA (GRAI_LNC009308)
Source: RNAcentral
AUCUCUAAAAAUCACAAAAUUUAAACUAUAAUGUCCUUAAAUAUUGUAUAUUUGAUCUGGAAAGUUUCAGCACUAAACUCAACCCGCUGAAUACUUUUUUAAUUUUUUUGAUUUCGUCUUUUUCUAUUUUUUUGACUUUUUCUACUGAUUUUUUUGCGGGAAAUGUUUUUUUAAUAUUCCAUCACAGUACCAAAAAUAUGCAUAUAAAAUUUCAGACCAAUCGGACAACGUUUACCCACUCAAAUGAAUUUUUUUCCAAAAAUUUUUCUGGGUAAAAACUGCUGUUUGUUGGAAAUCAAUUUAGAAAUCAACCAAGAACACCCAAAACACCCAAAAUCUGAUACCAAAUGAU